UGGCUGCUUCUGUAAGGCCUUUCUGCCUCGGCUCUGCAGGCAGCUGCGCUUGCUCUGACCCGGCGGGCGCGUGCCUGGCCCCAGCACCGGGGGCUCCACAUGGGGGUGGCUGUGUCUCAGGAUGGCUGCUGGCAUUUUGGUGAAGAAGGGCUUUCUCAGUGUCGUGUUAAGAUAAUUCAAAUUGUUCCAGCGUUCAUCUAAAAACACAGAAAUACCUGACCCUUUUAAACCUACCAUGCUCAAAACAAUUACAACACUGCUUUUUGUUUCAUUUUUUAAAAGGCAAUAUACCUCUGGUUUAGACCACAUUUAGGUAGAAAAUUACUGUUUGUUUGUAUUUUUUUGAAAGAGGCAGUCAGUUAGUGCUGAAAUAAUAAUUCUGGAAAUGCAGAGGCUUCUGUCUGCCUGGACAGCACAGCUUGUUUUGCAACUUUGCUUCUGACGUACCUGAAAAGCAUUGCCCCUGCAGCUUCCCCAUCAGGGAACCCCCAUGCCAAAGCUCACAGCAGGGGCAGGAAGGGGGAAAGGGAUGUGGUGCUCUCCCAACCUACUGCAUUUAAGCCUGAGUCCAUGAAAAAUCCCUUUUAUGAUGGAUACACUGCAAUAUAAUUGACCUAAACCCCCAGCCUCCGAUGGAGGUUGCAAUGCAACACUAAGCUGGUGACAGAGCCUGCUGUCUGAGGGGUUUUGCAAGGUCGUGUUUUAGGAGGAAAUACAUUUCUCCUCCAGCCUGAUGCAAUCAGUUUACUGAGUGGCAAGUAGCUGCGGACACCUCAUGUGCUGCUUUGCAAAGUGUUUGUGGAUAUCCUCAGAUGAACAUUGCCAAAGAUAAGAUCUUAAUUAUAGAAAUCUCAAGAGCGAUUGAGAAAAUAGCUCAACAGGGAUGUCGGGGUGGUUUCCCCAGAGGAAGCAGGGCAGCCCUGCAGACGUGCAGCACCAUCACCACCUCCAGGGAGCUGUUCGUCAAGGGACAGCCUGUCCUGGCACGGCCCCUCGUAGAUGCUAGCUCCUGCUUCACUGUCUUCUCCAUGCUUGCAGGUCCCCAGGCACUCUGCUGUAAAAACCUGUGAGCUGGGUCUCCAGCGAGCUCCUUCAGGAAGGGAUUUUGGGUGAGGGAUGAUCCAGGAGGUGUUCACAGGCACUCUCUGAAAUGUGGAGGGGCAACAUGUGCUCUCCUGAGGAGUUAACUGCUCCAUGACAGCUUCUGUCGUAUCUGAAAGGACUGCCAGAAAAAUCUGGAAAUUGUCCAUGACCAAGGAGGUAUCAGGGAGCUACGCAACAAGUGUGGUUUUUGUGCCACAUUCAGUCCUGAAGCCAAACUGAAGUAGUUCAAAGAAAUAUGAAGUUAUGCUGUUUUACAUCAAAGCUUUUCCCUAAAAGCUACUAAUUUUCCCCAGACAAGAAGGCCUCAGAGACAGCUGGACUGCCAGCAAGAUUACCAGCUCCUGGCAGCUCCUUCUUAAAUAAAUCCUGUGGAUCUCUACUCUGAGAGAAGCAGGGAACUCAAAACUUCAGACUGGAAUUUGCAUCUUGUUCUUAAUAAAUUUGGAUACAACUCUCCCAAAAUAAGGUGGGAGACCUCCUAGAAAUUGAGGUGUUGGACUAGAAAUGAGGAAACCAAACUCAUGGACAUCAGCUCCUGCCCUACUGGAUGGCAGGUGUGGAGCCAUUCUUCUGCUUGCACACCCACAAGCAUCUCUCAGCAUUGUGUGGACUUUUCUUGGGGUGGAUGAUUUCCACACACUGGGAUUUAGAAGAGACAUUUUGCUGCCUGUACCUGGAAGCAAAACAGGAGGUGUUGAAUGUGCAACACUUAUCAUUAUACACUAACUAGGUCUAUCACACAGGCCGGGAGUUUGCCUCUUUUUUUCCUACCUCUCUUUUUGGUAAGCAAUCUUUCCUUACAUCUCAGUGCUUUCCCAGUUAAAGGACCAGUGUAAAACCCAUGUACAUAGGAUUUACACCUCUGGUUUUCAAUAGGCACUGACUGCUUGGCACUUCCUUAAUGUGAGAUUGUAAAAUACCUAAAACAAGGACUGCUUUGGAAAGAUAAUGAGCACCUGAAUUGCUCUUGAGAGCAGAGGUAAUUGUGUGUUAAUGCACACGUCCUGAGCCAAAAAUCGUGGCUCGGGAAGAAACUCAAGACUGGGUUCAAAAGGUGCUUAAAAAGGAAGCUAUCUAAAGCAUUUGAUAUGACAUCCAAAGGAUUUACCUGGGUCAGAGCAACCUGAUGAAUUCACUUGAAAGUGAAUCUCUCUGGAAGUAUUCCUUCAUCCUAGAGAAAGCAGGAGGGAUCAGAAAUGCCAUUCUUCAUAGAGAGUGUGAUAUUCAGCUCACGCAGUCCUAUAAGCACACAGGAGAGGAAAGAGGGUGAUGGGCUCAGGCUUCUCUCCCCUGUACAUCCGCUAUCUUUCCAUACACAAACAGAUGUGCUCACAUAGAUUCAUCUGCAAUGCAAUUCUAAAAUCAGUUAUUUUCAGAACAGUGCAUGGGACAAGAACCCCUGAAACUUGCAUUUUCUUUAAAAGAAUUUAUAUUGUUUUUAAAAAUAAAUAUGCAUUUUAUUGCUCCCCAAAUCACCUGAUGAUUCAGGCUCACCCCCAAAUGUACCCAUGUAUGAGUUUUAAUAUUUUUAGGUGGUUUCCGAGCAUUCCAAGGACUUAAAAUACAUGUUAAAGAAAACAUUAAAUUUAAAAUCAUUUAGGGAAUGAAUGAAGUUCAAGAGAAUUUUAGGUAUUCUGAAUGCGUAGAUCUGAAUUUGCUUUAAAGAUUUUCCAAGAUAUUUAGGUUACAGAGGUGAUCUAAUGCUUCGCUUAAAUACUGCUCACAGGUUGAUUUGCAUGGCUUUUGGAGGUUAAUACCAUGUUUCAACAGAUAUUUUUUAUUUUUAUUUUUAAUUAUUUUAUAUUAUCUCCCUUCUGCCCAGGAUGUCUUUGUAAGACUUUUAGAUAAGAGAAAUCUUGACCUGGAUUGGCUUUUUGGUUGAGUUGUUUUUUCUCAACUUCUAAUUUACCUUUGCAACACCACCCAACAGUAUGCUACUACACCCUGCAAUGCCAUCAUAGCUCUAUAUCAGGGAGCUUUUCAAAAAAUCACAGGAAGAUGGGCUGAUGCCUCACUCCCAGGCAUACAAAAUGAGGUGAUACUCUGUACUGUAGCCCAGCCCAGCUGCACCUUUCCUCCUUGGAGCAUCACACCACAGUUUUUCACAGCCAGCGUUCAGGUCGCCUUCUGCCUUGGAGUCGGAAUAAGCCCCAGUGUGUCCCAUUGGGGGUGGCAGAUGCUGAUCCAAUUCCUUCUCCUUGCUGGAAAUGCUCAGCAGCCCCCAGUCCUUGCCUGCUGCAGGCUGAAAUGGGGUUUUUGCUUCAGGGGAUGGAGCCCACACU
This is a non-coding RNA of Anas platyrhynchos (mallard), 3386 nucleotides long. Lineage: Eukaryota; Metazoa; Chordata; Aves; Anseriformes; Anatidae. The record is from RefSeq and is a predicted model, not a curated record.